This 464-nucleotide ribosomal RNA is filed under the name uncultured bacterium. RNAcentral's name for it is "partial 16S ribosomal RNA". It matches the Rfam family "Bacterial small subunit ribosomal RNA", at positions 339 to 795 of the family's 1533-position model. The record is from RNAcentral.
CUACGGGGUGCAGCAGUGGGGAAUAUUGCACAAUGGGCGCAAGCCUGAUGCAGCCAUGCCGCGUGUAUGAAGAAGGCCUUCGGGUUGUAAAGUACUUUCAGCGGGGAGGAAGGGAGUAAAGUUAAUACCUUUGCUCAUUGACGUUACCCGCAGAAGAAGCACCGGCUAACUCCGUGCCAGCAGCCGCGGUAAUACGGAGGGUGCAAGCGGUAAUCGGAAUUACUGGGCGUAAAGCGCACGUAGGCGGUUUGUUAAGUCAGAUGUGAAAUCCCCGGGCUCAACCUGGGAACUGCAUCUGAUACUGGCAAGCUUGAGUGUGCUAGAGGGGGGUGGAAUUCCAGGUGUAGCGGUGAUAUGCGUAGAGAUCUGGAGGAAUACCGGUGGCGAAGGCGGCCCCCUGGACGAAGACUGACGCUCAGGUGCGAAAGCGUGGGGAGCAAACAGGAUUAGAUACCCCGGUAGUC